GACGAACGCUGGCGGCGUGCUUAACACAUGCAAGUCGAACGGAAAGGCCCCUUUGGGGGUACUCGAGUGGCGCACGGGUGAGUAACACGUGCGUAACCUGCCCUUGACUUCGGGAUAACUUCAGGAAACUGGGGCUAAUACCGGAUAGGAAUCCUUGCUGCAUGGUGGGGGUUGGAAAGCUUCGGCGGUUUUGGAUGGACUCGCGGCUUAUCAGCUUGUUGGUGGGGUAGUGGCUUACCAAGGCUUUGACGGGUAGCCGGCCUGAGAGGGCGACCGGCCACAUUGGGACUGAGAGACGGCCCAGACUCCUACGGGAGGCAGCAGCGGGGAAUAUUGCACAAUGGGCGGAAGCCUGAUGCAGCAACGCCGCGUGCGGGAUGACGGCCUUCGGGUUGUAAACCGCUUUCAGCAGGGGCGAAGCUUGUGGUGACGGUACCUGCAGAAGAAGCACCGGCUAACUACGUG
RNAcentral lists this ribosomal RNA (465 nucleotides) under uncultured bacterium. RNAcentral describes it as "partial 16S ribosomal RNA". It matches the Rfam family "Bacterial small subunit ribosomal RNA", at positions 28 to 507 of the family's 1533-position model. The record is from RNAcentral.